This 404-nucleotide ribosomal RNA is filed under the name uncultured bacterium. RNAcentral describes it as "partial 16S ribosomal RNA". It matches the Rfam family "Bacterial small subunit ribosomal RNA", at positions 28 to 526 of the family's 1533-position model. The record is from RNAcentral.
GAUGAACGCUGACAGAAUGCUUAACACAUGCAAGUCAACUGUGGCGGACGGGUGAGUAACGCGUAAAGAACUUGCCUCACAGCUAGGGACAACAUUUGGAAACGAAUGCUAAUACCUGAUACUGUGAGAGAGCUUUGCGUCCCAUUCGCUAGUUGGAGAGGUAACGGCUCACCAAGGCGAUGAUGGGUAGCCGGCCUGGGAGGGUGAUCGGGCACAAGGGGACUGGGACGCGGCCCUUACGCCUUCGGGAGGCAGCAGUGGGGAAUAUUGAACGAUGGACCAAAGUCUGAUCCAGCAAUUCUGUGUGCACGAUGAAGUUUUCGGAAGGUAAAGUGCUUUCAGUUGGGAAGCGUUACCAACAGAAGAAGUGACGGCUAAAUACGUGCCAGCAGCCGCGGUAAUAC